CAGCGCGGACUUCGGUCUGGCGGCGAGUGGCGAACGGGUGAGUAAUAUAUCGGAACGUGCCCUGGAGUGGGGGAUAACCAGUCGAAAGACUGGCUAAUACCGCAUACGAUCUACGGAUGAAAGUGGGGGAUCGCAAGACCUCAUGCUCGUGGAGCGGCCGAUAUCUGAUUAGCUAGUUGGUGGGGUAAGAGCCCACCAAGGCUUCGAUCAGUAGCUGGUCUGAGAGGACGACCAGCCACACUGGGACUGAGACACGGCCCAGACUCCUACGGGAGGCAGCAGUGGGGAAUUUUGGACAAUGGGGGCAACCCUGAUCCAGCAAUGCCGCGUGUGUGAAGAAGGCCUUCGGGUUGUAAAGCACUUUUGUCCGGAACGAAACGGUGGAGGCUAAUAUCCUCUGCUACUGACGGUACUGGAAGAAUAAGCACCGGCUAACUACGUGCCAGCAGCCGCGGUAAUACGUAGGGUGCAAGCGUUAAUCGGAAUUACUGGGCGUAAAGCGUGCGCAGGCGGUUGUGCAAGACAGAUGUGAAAUCCCCGGGCUCAACCUGGGAACUGCAUUUGUGACUGCACGGCUAGAGUGUGUCAGAGGGGGGUAGAAUUCCACGUGUAGCAGUGAAAUGCGUAGAGAUGUGGAGGAACACCGAUG
Molecule: ribosomal RNA, 649 nt
Filed under: uncultured beta proteobacterium
Lineage: Bacteria; Pseudomonadati; Pseudomonadota; Betaproteobacteria
Description: bacterial SSU rRNA
Rfam family: Bacterial small subunit ribosomal RNA
Source: RNAcentral